Fukomys damarensis (Damara mole-rat) is the source of this 3688-nucleotide long non-coding RNA. RefSeq lists it as uncharacterized. The record is from RefSeq and is a predicted model, not a curated record. NCBI's taxonomy places the organism in Eukaryota, Metazoa, Chordata, Mammalia, Rodentia, Bathyergidae. The transcript has 3 exons.
CUCUGUCACUCAGAAGUGCUACCGAGGUUUGGGGCCCCCGCAGGGUCCAUGCGCUAGAUCAGUGCUGUGCGGGUUUGUGCAGAUGCUGCCAGGGAAGGAAGGGCUGGUGUCAGCUAUUCUUGCAGAAGAGGAGACAGACACUCAGGGAGGACAAGUUCUGGGCCCCUUUGUACAUAAGUAGAAGGCAGUGAAGUGAGGUCCAGAGCCAGCGGAGGCCAGAACCCGGCCUUCUGAGCUCUCGCUGCUGAUACCCUCCCUUUCCGGGGGUACAGAUCCUCCCCGGGCUGCACUGCUCAUGGCCCCUGUUCCCCUGCUCACUCACAGGCAAAAAGCGGAAAAUGCCCUCUUGGUCAUCCCUGACUCGUGCCAGGGUUGGCGUAGCCGCUCUCCGCUACCUAGGACCUCCCUGGAUUCCUUCAGUUCACAGCCCUGGCUUCUUAGAAGACCCAUUUGGCGGAUGGCACCCUGGGAAACCUUCUCACGUGUUCCCAGCACCCUGGCAUCCAGAGAAGGCUCUGCUUUACCUCAAGUCCAGCGCUUCAGAGGGAAUCUCCACCCAGCUUCACGUGUGUGUUGAAGUGGCCUCAGAGCCACAGCCCCUCUCUCGUCUUCCCGUCUCCAUCACAACCCACCCCUCCGGCUCAGGAACAGGAGAGGGGGAGCGGUGAGCCUGCCGAUGGGCAGACACUGGGCAAGGGCCACACUUCCUCCUGCUGUGGGUUCCACGGCAGCACCCAUCGUGGAAACCCUCUGCAGCAAAACACCAAGCAUGGGCAUGAAGAUGGUGGACUCUUCAGCCUCGAGGAGCCCAGAUUUUCAACACAGAUGGAGAAACAGCUGAGAAAACACAUGUAGUACAUCGGGCUGUAACCCCGGAACAACACACAAAGGCCCACAGGAAGUCCACGUCCUUCCACUGACACCAUGGAGCUGAGCCCUGGAAGCGGAGGAGGCUGAUGAGCACCAGGCCUCAUAAAGGGGAACAGGAAGAAUAAAGACGAGCAGGAUGAAGGCUUCUGGUGUGUGGGGACCGUAGGAAUGUAGGGGGCCCAGCACCUUGGUCUGUGGGUGACAGGCAGUGGUCUGGGAGUCCAUGGGGGAGGCGAGAUGGGGCCAAGCAUGGAGGCCUUGUUGGCUGCGGUGUUGGGCUUUACUGGGGAGGCAGCGGGGAGCCCCUGGAGCAGAGACAGGAUGUCACGAUCAGAGCUUAGUUUGAAGAUGACUAACCUAACAGCAGAGGAGAGGAUGGGUGGGAGGGGAAAUCAGAGGGAGGGAGCCAAGAAAGUUCAAUGCACAGCUCAUCCUGAACCUCGAAAGGACUUGGAAACAGGGAUCUAUGUCUGGGCCCUGGCGCAGAGCGCUGUGCAGGGUGCCCCACAUGACACAGGCUGAGGGAGCCUGGCGAGUGCCUCCUUCCUUGGCCUGGAGGCUGUCAGUCAAGAACCGGGCAGCAGCGGGCAGAGCCACCAUGGCAGGGAGACGCAACCCCACCGUGGAGUCUGGCAGAGGCCAGCUGGGUUGGUGCCCGGCCAGAUGACAGGAGAAACAGUGUGCCCUGCCAGGAGAGCUAAGGGAGGCCCAGGCUGGGUCUCUCCUGGAUGCAGGCCCUGGAGCUGUGUGAGCCUCUGCCCUGCUCUCUGAGAGCCAGUGAGGGGAGCAGUGGUCGGGGACAACAGCGUCGCUGUGGAAACUGUGAAGACUUGAAGGCUCCUGCACCUCAAUGCUUUAGGAACUCGCUCCAAAUUCCCAGCAAUAAUUUUGGGGAAGGGGGGAAAUUAAAGGAAACCAAGCAGUUGCCCACAUAGGGCAACACAAAGUCCAUGUCAGAACGCCAGGUCUAUGGGCAUCAGAAAGGGAGCCUUCCAUGCUCUACAUGGGAAGAGAGAUCCCUACAGUGUCUUCCAUCCCCUGCACUUGGGAUGGACUUGACUUUAGGGGCCAUUAUGGUUAGGAUCACAAAUAGCACCCAAAGGCUCAUGUAGAAGGCAUGGUCCCAGCUGAUGGCGGUAUUGGAAAUGGUAGGAGGCAGGGCACAGGUGAAGGAAGGCAGGUCACUGGGGCUGUGCCCUCUGAGGGAUGUUGGGCUCUCAACCUCCACUCUCUUUCUUGGUUUGAGGUGAGCAGUUUCCUGGGCCAUGCCCUUACUGAUGUAACGUUCUGCCUUGCCACAGGCCCAGAGACACACAGCCAAGUGUGCUGAAACCGUGAGCCAAGAUAAACCUUUCCUCCUUUUACUUUGUUUAGCUCAAGUCUUGAAAUCUGACUACCACAGGUGACUAACAUGUGUGGCUCAACACGUCCAGAGCCUUGUCUCCGUGCUGUGGGAAGACAGCAGAGAGUGGGGCUGUAAGGAAAUAAUGUCACCACAGAGAGUGGAUUCACGCUGGUCAUACAAGGAGCAAGGGCACCUAGGAGGUGGGGCACCUUCAUCUCAUGUGGCCUGGCCUGCCUGCUAGGAUCCUGUCAGCUGAAGCAAGUGCAACCGCCAAAGGAGACACCAAGGGCAGGGAAGUAGAGUCCGCCCUUGUGGAAGGAGCUGCAAAGCAACAUGGUACACGGCGUAGACAGAGCGAGGUGACCCUGUGCCACAGCGUGUGAUCUGCCUGCUCUUCCCAAGGGCCACUGUGCCAAGGUGCUGUGGGAUACCGGGUGACAGACCCAGCCUCUCCCUGCAGCUCAGCAUCCAGUACAGGGAACCAAUGGGCCCAUAAAUGGGUAUCAUAUCAUCUGGAUAUAAGGCAAAGAUCUGGGAAGAGGGGAGGCAGUGACACGGUUUGUGUAUGAGAGUCAGGAAAUACUUGCAGGAGAAAGCCUCUUAUGCAGAAGAAUGGCUUUGACCUGUGAAAAGGGAAAGGACCCUCAGCUCCCCAGCCAAGAGGCAGAAAUCCAAGGUCAGUAAUGAUGGUCAACGUGGUUUCCUCUAUAUUGCAAAUGCUUUAAUAAUGCUGGUGAUGAGCACACAGAGAAUACCGGACCCCUGUGCGUGAGCAUUAGGUGGGCUCGCCUAAUGCAAGCUGUGUUAGGACCCUGGAAUGACAUAAAAUGUGAUCUUCUAUGAGUUUGAUUUUGGAGUCAGAACUGAGCUUUUACUACAUUUGUUCUCCACGUAACCAUGACCCCCUCACAGUGGGCAUCUGCGAUGUCCCCAAAAGGCCCACAGAUUAAACGCCCAGCCCCAGAUUGGCACUGUUAGGAGGCAGUGGAAACUGAGGGGUGCAGCCUCGGGUCUCCUGGCCAUGGGGAUGUGCCUUGGGGGACAGUGCGGCCCCAGCUCUUCCUCUCUCUUUGCUUCCAGACCAGCGUGAUCAGGUUUUCUCCACCACAUGUGCUGGCCGUCACGUGCUUCCUUAAGGCCCAACUGAUCAUGGACAGAAGCCCCUAAAACUGUGAGCUAAAAUAAACCUUUUCUCUUUACAACGUGCUUGUCUCAGGGAUCCAUCACAGCAAAGGAUCAUGUGCUCACUCACUCCUUCCAAGAUAUUACAUUUUGAGCUGCCCUUUCCUUCACGUGGUUAUUCAAUUUGUUCAUCAGACACACUCUACUAGAGACCACAUUCCCUGCACUGGGGACACAGAGGGCAGCAGACACCGCCUCCGCCUCCAGGUAGAACAAUCAUCUUGCUCUUCCAAGGGCCUGAGUGCCUGGCCAGAGGAACUUUGUACCCUUUCAGAACGUGCGCCCAGGAGC